This 844-nucleotide ribosomal RNA is filed under the name uncultured bacterium. Its description in RNAcentral is "SSU rRNA". It matches the Rfam family "Bacterial small subunit ribosomal RNA", at positions 542 to 1381 of the family's 1533-position model. The record is from RNAcentral.
UGUUCGGAAUCACUGGGCGUAAAGGGUGCGUAGGUGACGUGGUAAGUCAGAUGUGAAAGCCCGGGGCUCAUCUCCGGAACUGCAUCCGAUACUGCCGUGCUAGAGCACUGAAGAGGUGACCGGAAUUCUCGGUGUAGCAGUGAAAUGCGUGGAUAUCGAGAGGAACACCAAAGGCGAAGGCAGGUCACUGGGCAGUUGCUGACACUGAGGCACGAAGGCCAGGGUAGCGAACGGGAUUAGAUACCCCGGUAGUCCUGGCAGUAAACGGUGCACGCUUGGUGUGGGGACAUUCGACCGUCUCUGCGCCGGAGCUAACGCGUUAAGCGUGCCGCCUGGGAAGUACGAUCGCAAGAUUAAAACUCAAAGAAAUUGACGGGGACCCGCACAAGCGGUGGAGUAUGUGGCUUAAUUCGAUGCAACGCGAAGAACCUUACCUGGUCUUGACAUGCAUUCUGUCGUCGGUGAAAGCCGGCUAGCGUAGCAAUACGCGGUUUGCACAGGUGCUGCAUGGCUGUCGUCAGCUCGUGUCGUGAGAUGUUGGGUUAAGUCCCGCAACGAGCGCAACCCUUGUGGUUUGUUGCCACCCGGUUUCCGGAGCACUCGAACCAGACUGCCUCGAUCAACGAGGAGGAAGGUGGGGAUGACGUCAAGUCCGUAUGGCCCUUACGGCCAGGGCUGCAUACGUACUACAAUGCCCAGUACAGAAUGAACCGAAACCGCGAGGUGGAGGAAAUCUCAAAAACUGGGCCCAGUUCAGAUUGGAGUGUGCAACUCGACUCCAUGGAGUUGGAAUCGCUAGUAAUGGCGCAUCAGCUACGGCGCCGAGAAUACAUUCCUCGGGUCU